UACGUAGGGUGCAAGCGUUGUCCGGAAUUAUUGGGCGUAAAGAGCUCGUAGGCGGUCUGUCGCGUCUGCUGUGAAAACUCGGGGCUUAACCCCGGGCCUGCAGUGGGUACGGGCAGACUAGAGUGCGGUAGGGGAGACUGGAAUUCCUGGUGUAGCGGUGAAAUGCGCAGAUAUCAGGAGGAACACCGGUGGCGAAGGCGGGUCUCUGGGCCGAUACUGACGCUGAGGAGCGAAAGCGUGGGAGCGAACAGG
Molecule: ribosomal RNA, 252 nt
Filed under: uncultured bacterium
Lineage: Bacteria
Description: partial 16S ribosomal RNA
Rfam family: Bacterial small subunit ribosomal RNA
Source: RNAcentral